RNAcentral lists this ribosomal RNA (927 nucleotides) under Escherichia coli 1-176-05_S4_C2. RNAcentral describes it as "partial 23S ribosomal RNA". The stretch from base 426 to 927 matches the Rfam family "Bacterial small subunit ribosomal RNA", at positions 1 to 492 of the family's 1533-position model. The record is from RNAcentral. Lineage: Bacteria; Pseudomonadati; Pseudomonadota; Gammaproteobacteria; Enterobacterales; Enterobacteriaceae.
ACAGAAAUUACAUUGAUGAUUGUGGAUAACUCUGUGCGUAAAAAGGUAUAAAGCGGGCUUUUGCUGGGGAAUGCAGCAGUCAGUCAUUUUUCUGCAAUUUUUCUAUUGCGGCCUGCGGAGAACUCCCUAUAAUGCGCCUCCAUCGACACGGCGGAUGUGAAUCACUUCACACAAACAGCCGGUUCGGUUGAAGAGAAAAAUCCUGAAAUUCAGGGUUGACUCUGAAAGAGGAAAGCGUAAUAUACGCCACCUCGCGACAGUGCGCUAAAGCGCGUCGCAACUGCUCUUUAACAAUUUAUCAGACAAUCUGUGUGGGCACUCGAAGAUACGGAUUCUUAACGUCGCAAGACGAAAAAUGAAUACCAAGUCUCAAGAGUGAACACGUAAUUCAUUACGAAGUUUAAUUCUUUGAGCAUCAAACUUUUAAAUUGAAGAGUUUGAUCAUGGCUCAGAUUGAACGCUGGCGGCAGGCCUAACACAUGCAAGUCGAACGGUAACAGGAAGAAGCUUGCUUCUUUGCUGACGAGUGGCGGACGGGUGAGUAAUGUCUGGGAAACUGCCUGAUGGAGGGGGAUAACUACUGGAAACGGUAGCUAAUACCGCAUAACGUCGCAAGACCAAAGAGGGGGACCUUCGGGCCUCUUGCCAUCGGAUGUGCCCAGAUGGGAUUAGCUAGUAGGUGGGGUAACGGCUCACCUAGGCGACGAUCCCUAGCUGGUCUGAGAGGAUGACCAGCCACACUGGAACUGAGACACGGUCCAGACUCCUACGGGAGGCAGCAGUGGGGAAUAUUGCACAAUGGGCGCAAGCCUGAUGCAGCCAUGCCGCGUGUAUGAAGAAGGCCUUCGGGUUGUAAAGUACUUUCAGCGGGGAGGAAGGGAGUAAAGUUAAUACCUUUGCUCAUUGACGUUACCCGCAGAAGAAGCA